GUGAGUGAUGAAAGCUUAGACUAGAGUCUCUGAUACACAGUGAUGGCUAAGUAAACGCUCUGACGC
This is a small nucleolar RNA of Bombina bombina (fire-bellied toad), 66 nucleotides long. RefSeq annotates it as small nucleolar RNA SNORD52. The record is from RefSeq and is a predicted model, not a curated record. The transcript has a single exon. Lineage: Eukaryota; Metazoa; Chordata; Amphibia; Anura; Bombinatoridae.